Molecule: ribosomal RNA, 119 nt
Filed under: Capsicum annuum
Lineage: Eukaryota; Viridiplantae; Streptophyta; Magnoliopsida; Solanales; Solanaceae
Source: RNAcentral
GGAUGAGAUCAUACCAGCACUACCGCACCGGAUCCCAUCAGAACUCCGAUGUUAAGCGUGCUUGGGCGAGAGUAGUACUAGGAUGGGUGACCCCCUGGGAAGUCCUCGUGUUGCAUCCC